AAUGAACGUUGGCGGCGUGGAUUAGGCAUGCAAGUCGCGCGAGAAUCGUAGCAAUACGAGGACAGCGGCGUAAGGGAUAGUAACGCGUGGAUAUCUACCCAGGAAUCUGGGAUAGCCAGCCGAAAGGCUGGGUAAUACCGGAUAAUGUCUUCGGACCAAAGGUGUGAUUCCGUUCCCGGAUGAGUCCGCGUCCUAUUAGCUAGUUGGUGGGGUAAUGGCCUACCAAGGCAAUGAUGGGUAGCGGGUGUGAGAGCACGACCCGCAUCACUGGGACUGAGAUACUGCCCAGACACCUACGGGUGGCUGCAGUCGAGGAUCUUCGGCAAUGGACGCAAGUCUGACCGAGCGACGCCGCGUGCGGGAUGAAGGCCUUCGGGUUGUAAACCGCUGUCAGUGGGGAGGAAAUUUAUAAGGGUACUCUCUUAUAAUUGACCGAUCCGCAGAGGAAGUGUGGGCUAAGUUCGUG
RNAcentral lists this ribosomal RNA (466 nucleotides) under uncultured bacterium. Its description in RNAcentral is "bacterial SSU rRNA". It matches the Rfam family "Bacterial small subunit ribosomal RNA", at positions 29 to 507 of the family's 1533-position model. The record is from RNAcentral.